Molecule: small RNA, 755 nt
Filed under: Pongo abelii (Sumatran orangutan)
Lineage: Eukaryota; Metazoa; Chordata; Mammalia; Primates; Hominidae
Description: retained intron
Source: RNAcentral
CUGAGAUUCCUAGAGGCUGCUCGGGAAGCCCGUGGAACCCAGGACUGUGGCUGGCGGAGUUCUCUGCCAUGCUUCAUCCUGGGGCCAGUGCCUCCGUGCCAAGCAACCCAAAGGGACAGGACUUCCAGGCCUCCAGGGGAGAAAAAAGUGACACCUUUGCCCUGCAUUUGACUAAGGCAAGGGUCAGGGAUCAAAGCUGAGGCAGCGGGAAGCAGGGUGGCAGGAGCUGGUGGCUGCUGGUGGGCGGGUAUGGACAGGGAGGUGGGCAACAGAGAGGUACAGCCCACCCCAUACACAGCCUCCUUCCACCAAGGCCCCGCCUGAUUCCUUGGCUUUCCACACCGCCAGCCCACCUGGAACAUGGGCAAAGCUCACAUUCUCCCAAGAUGGUUGCCAGAAAGAUGCUGGACUCUGCUCUUAACCUUGGUUUUGUACCCAGGCUCUUCUUGUAGAUAUCAAACUGGACCUACUCACAGUCACUCCAGAUGCUGCAAGCCAGCCCCUCAUUGACCUCCCUCUCAUCGACUUCUGCAAUACCCCAGAAGCAAACGUGGCUGUGGGAUCUGAAAGCAGGCCUCUGAUUGACCUCAUGAUAAACACUCCAGACAUGAAUAAAAAUGUGGCCAAACCUUCACCGGUGGUGGGACAGCUCAUAGAUCUGAGCUCGCCUCUGAUCCAGCUGAGCCCUGAGGCUGACAAGGAGAACGUGGAUUCCCCACUCCUCAAGUUCUAAGCAGAACCAAAUCCUUUGGCUU